GUCCCCCUAGCUCAAUGGAUAGAGCAGCGCUCUUCUAAGGCGUUGAUGUGGGUUCGACUCCUGCGGGGGACG
This 72-nucleotide transfer RNA is filed under the name Candidatus Kaiserbacteria bacterium RIFCSPHIGHO2_02_FULL_56_30. RNAcentral's name for it is "tRNA-Arg". It matches the Rfam family "tRNA". Rfam says of the family: Transfer RNA (tRNA) molecules are approximately 80 nucleotides in length. Their secondary structure includes four short double-helical elements and three loops (D, anti-codon, and T loops). Lineage: Bacteria; Candidatus Kaiseribacteriota. The record is from RNAcentral. RNAcentral also lists the same sequence under 2 other names.